Molecule: long non-coding RNA, 991 nt
Organism: Phyllopteryx taeniolatus (common seadragon)
Lineage: Eukaryota; Metazoa; Chordata; Actinopteri; Syngnathiformes; Syngnathidae
Exons: 2
Source: RefSeq, a predicted model, not a curated record
CUCCCCCGACAAUCUCCCUCCCCCUCCCCCCCGCCCUCUCUCUCUCUCUCUCUCUCUCUCUCUCUCUCUGUGUGUGACCGGCUAACAAAAGCCUUGUUGCCCUUUCGCCGGGUUUUCUCGCCGUCGCUCCUUCUCCGGAAUAAAUACACUUUUCCACAGUCUCCUUCCUUGAGUGGUGAGUGUGUAUCCCCCCCUUCCCCUUCCCCCUCCCCACUGGUUUGCCUCCCCUCCUCCACCACCUCCUCCUCCAGCGGCGGCGGUCCACUCGUCUUCUUUCUCAGGCAGUGCGAGAACACCAGAGAGGCUUGUCUCCUCCUCCCCCAGCGGGCAGGGCUCAAGAGGAGUGCAUGGGAGCUCUCUCUCCCUCUCUCUUUACUCCCUCCCUCACCCUCGUUUGUCUCUUCACGGGGUGAUGAGGCAGGAGAGGCAGAGGAGGUGCGUGGCAGUUCAAAAAGCGCUGGCUGCCUCCCUCGCUCUUUCAGGGUUUCCCUAAAGCCGGGUCAUUGAUUCCUCGCUCGUUCUUUUCCUCGUUGUCCCGGGAUAAGGUUACAGCCAAUGAUGUGAUGAUUUAUUUAAGGAAACAUUAUAAAAACAUCCUGGGAUUUUCAGGUUACGAAUCCAAAAGAAGUGCAACCUCUUCUGGCGGUCCGCAGGCGCUGGUCUUUACACGACCCCCCCCAACGCAAGCGGACAUGUGCAACAGCUGGCACAUGGCACUGGGAAUGACACAUGGCUGGCCCAAAGCCAGGUACAGUGCUGCAGAGAGACUAGGCUAGCCAGUGAUAGCCAAGAUUUAAACCCUCAGUUAUGGCCGUCUUGAACGCAGCAAGAACUCCAAUUCCACAACAUAAACGUGAAAGGUAGAGGGGAUUGGUAAAUAUGAACAAAACACCUAUUUAAACAUUACCCAGAGCAGCAGCUGAGUUUGAAUAAUAAAUGUUCGUGUUUGAUGCAUGUUGAAAAGUAAAUAAAAGUUUAUGGGACUGACUAA